AGAAAGGAAAAAAUGGCCAUUCAAAUUCAAAUGAUCAUCGCUGAAAACAAAUCCCAAAUUCUACAGGCUGCGUACAACAGAGAAACAGAUCAUUGAUACAAUUACAAAAUGCAAAAUGGAUCGAGGCAAUCGCCAUUAGAAAGAGAAAAAGCUAAACAAAGAGGUUAAUCGGAAAACAAAAUAGGUUUUUCAAAAAACUAACAAAUUCAUCACGUAGGUUGAUGAUAGAUAGGUUGAUGAUAGAUAAAGAUAGAUUCAUGGAGAAGUAGAGGAAGAAGAAGAUGACAGAGGAGUGAUUCUCUGUUUUCUAUUGAAACAGAGACAAGAGGAAAAAAUGAGUUUAAGAACGUUCCGAAAAAUUUGGCCUCUUUUAGGGAUGAAUCUGGGAGACGAGCGAGUUUCGGCGACGCUUCGAACGAGUCUAGUGCGCGGUGAAGAGGUAAGUGGCUGUACGAGUGCCGCCAUUUUUUAAGCUGAGCUGUGAUUCUGAAGGUAAAGCGACGGAGUUGGGAGUUAUUACCGACGAGGAGAGGGGCCUGGGGAUUCUAAUAGGCAAACCGUGUGUCCCUGCGCUACACGUAACCGUGUGUGGUGGUUUACUCCCUCUCUUUACAAAUAUAUGUAUAUACAUA
Molecule: long non-coding RNA, 632 nt
Filed under: Carica papaya (papaya)
Lineage: Eukaryota; Viridiplantae; Streptophyta; Magnoliopsida; Brassicales; Caricaceae
Description: long non-coding RNA (CPAP_LNC002005)
Source: RNAcentral